GACGAACGCUGGCGGCGUGCUUAACUCAUGCAAGUCGUACGGUAAGGCCCUUUCGGGGGUACACGAGUGGCGAACGGGUGAGUAACACGUGAGUAACCUGCCCACAACUUUGGGAUAACGCUAGGAAACUGGUGCUAAUACUGGAUAUGUGCUCCUGCUGCAUGGUGGGGGUUGGAAAGCUCCGGCGGUUGUGGAUGGACUCGCGGCCUAUCAGCUUGUUGGUGGGGUAGUGGCCUACCAAGGCGGCGACGGGUAGCCGGCCUGAGAGGGUGACCGGCCACAUUGGGACUGAGAUACGGCCCAGACUCCUACGGGAGGCAGCAGUGGGGAAUAUUGCACAAUGGGCGCAAGCCUGAUGCAGCAACGCCGCGUGCGGGAUGACGGCCUUCGGGUUGUAAACCGCUUUCAGCAGGGACGAAGCUUUUUGUGACGGUACCUGCAGAAGAAGCACCGGCUAACUACGUG
RNAcentral lists this ribosomal RNA (465 nucleotides) under uncultured bacterium. RNAcentral describes it as "partial 16S ribosomal RNA". It matches the Rfam family "Bacterial small subunit ribosomal RNA", at positions 28 to 507 of the family's 1533-position model. The record is from RNAcentral.